Small nucleolar RNA from Candida albicans SC5314, 85 nucleotides. Lineage: Eukaryota; Fungi; Ascomycota; Pichiomycetes; Serinales; Debaryomycetaceae. The record is from RefSeq and is a predicted model, not a curated record.
AGUGUGUUGAGGGAAGUGGUUAUACCGAUAUGAAUUUAUUACUAACAUCAUCUUCAGAAGGAAUUUCUAUAUAAAUAAUAACCCU